This is a long non-coding RNA of Solanum stenotomum, 2450 nucleotides long. RefSeq lists it as uncharacterized. The record is from RefSeq and is a predicted model, not a curated record. The transcript has 2 exons. NCBI's taxonomy places the organism in Eukaryota, Viridiplantae, Streptophyta, Magnoliopsida, Solanales, Solanaceae.
CUCUGUAACUUGUCUUCUUCGAGACCAAAUCGCUGAAAUCCAGCGAAACCAGACGAGAACAGUCGCUCAGACCAGAAAUCCCGCAGCUAAUCACGACCUCGAGCCUAACGCCUCCCUCUCCAUUAUCAAUCCGUUGAAGAUUGUUGAGAUGGGACAAUUGACAACUUUCAACUUAAGGGGAAGGUGAUUUUCAAAUUUCAAAAUCCACCCGUUUUCCCCCUAAUCGAUUCCAUUCUUUUCCUAUAUAUACUCUCCUUCCAUUAACGUCAAAAAGGGGGGAUUUUUUGAGCGAAAACACUGAGAGUAGCCUUAAGUAAAAGUAGCUAAAUAUAUAGAAAUACAUUGAAGGCAGAGAAAAUUUAGUUUCGAUCUGAGUAUCACGUUUCCAUCUCGUUUUGCCAUCGAUUCCCUCAAGUUUCGUUUGAGAAUCGAGAUUUUGCUCAGUUUUCUUGUUGUUGUUUGUAUUUGAGUUUUGUGGUAGGAAGAUUGUGGCUCUGCUCGCGCUGUCUCUAGUUCGCUGCCCUCGAAAAGGUAACCCUAUUUUGACCUUAACUCGUUUUAGCUGGUGUUUUAUUUCUAAUUAAAAGUUUACUGUUGAACUCUUGAGGCAAAUUUAUACUUUGGGGUGAUUGAUCAACAUUAUGUGUCCACUUGCUUGAGCAUUCUGAUGGAAAAUGGUAUUGAUCGAGUGCAUUAUAAUUCUUGUUCAUAUUGUUGACGAUUUGAGUUAUGUAAAACUAGUUAUUCAGUGGAAAUUUUUUGACAUAAUGGGGGGCUCAUUUCUAUUUGUUUUAUUGGUCUAGAUUCAUACCCAAAUCUUCUUUGAUGUGUUUUGGUGUUACUUUACCAAUUGAAGGCGUUUGAACCUUACAGUGAUGUCUUGAUGUCUUUCCCAUGUAGGAUAUUUUUCUCUAAUCUCGUAUCUUGUUUUCCCACUCUAGAAUGAUAUUACUGUAAGCUAGAAUGCUUUAGAAUGAUAGCUUCUCUUUUGGUCAAAAUUACAAAGUUACCUUCUCCGCAAAGUUCCAUUUCUUAGGUCUAGUUUUUUUAAAUUGAGCAUGCUGCAAUCAGCUCCUCUUUACUGCAUUUCCAGCAUCUAUUUUCGUCUAUUCGGUUUAUUCUCUCCUUGUAUUAGUUGUAGUUCUUUAUUUUCUUUAAAAAUGUUCCUGUGGGCUGUUGUUGUUAAUUCUUGCUGUGACGUGAAGUUAGACCAGCGAUAUUAAGUUGUAGAGGAUAAUAUUUUGCUCUUGAUUCAUACUCAGUCAAAGUCUCUUUGUUUAGUUCGGGUGAUUCUCUAUGUAGCGAUUUGUGAUAUCUAGUUUGAUACCAACACUUCAGAAAUCUAUCAUUUCAUGUUUUAGUUUAGAUUUCCUUGUCUAUUAUAGUGUAAGAAAUGUUCUAUUUAUAUAGAUACUUACUAAUAUAUUUGUUGCUCAGUAAUUGCCGUAACUCAUAUAUAACAAUAGUAUUUCUUCAGCUUUCGCGUAUCUGUUUUAUAAUUGAUAGAUAGUAUUCUGCUUGCUUCAUUUCUUGCUAAUAAGUCACUAAGGUUAAUAUGCUUUUCUAAAUUAACAUUACUUGUUAGAUUCCUGUUAAAUGUUGGUGCUUAAGUCAAGACGUCAAACCUUGUUUAGUUUUGUUUGGUGAAUAUUUUCUUUAAAAAAUGGAAUCAUAAGUGCAUUUGCUGAUAUAAUACUCCAGUAGGUAUAUGCUUUUAAAUUUAGUGGUUUGAGCAAAUCAUUGAUUAAGGUUGAGUGGAUAUAUGCUAUUUUAUAUAGUUUUCCUUAUGUUGCUUUUGAUUUGAUUUUUUUUUCCACUCAUGUAUUCAUGAUUUAUACAUUGUUCUCUACCAAUUAAGCAUCUUUUUUUUUAUGCAAUUUUGAGCUGAUGUUAAUUCAUUACUCCUUUCUUUGUAUGCAUGAUACUUGAGUCCAUUCAUGGACUCUCCUACUUGCAUUAUGUUGAGCUAAUCAGCCCAACCUCCUACUCGAGUCGGCCUUCUUCCCUGUUUGAAUUUCGGAAGCUGAAACAGUUGAGAAAGGAGUUGCAUUACAGGUUCUUAAGGCUGAAAACAGGCAGAAAUACAUCAUGUAUUCACUGAUAUACGUAUCAGUGCAACAAAUACGUGACUAAAAAUGGAAAUACAGGUAAAAAAUGUGGGAAUACAUGGCUGAGGUAAAAUACAGGGGUUUGGAAGCAGGAGAUACACGGAAAGAGCUGAUAUACAUGCCGAUAUACACUGAUAUACAUCAGCUGUAUACCCAAAACGGGUUUUGGUUAAACCCCAAAAAUACCAACGAAAUUGGCCCAAAAGGGGGCCCGAAUUCAACUUCUCUCCGUUAUUCUUAAAUUAUUUAAUUAUAAUUAUUUAUUGUUUGUUGUUAUUAACUCUAACUUUAGAAUUGUUAAUUAACUUAAUCGAAUUCCCUAAAAGGCGAACUAUUUCUCUG